This 347-nucleotide unclassified non-coding RNA is filed under the name soil metagenome. Its description in RNAcentral is "partial contains 5.8S ribosomal RNA, internal transcribed spacer 2, and large subunit ribosomal RNA". The stretch from base 1 to 119 matches the Rfam family "5.8S ribosomal RNA", at positions 36 to 154 of the family's 154-position model. The record is from RNAcentral.
AUGAAGAACGUAGCGAAAUGCGAUAAGUAAUGUGAAUUGCAGAAUUCAGUGAAUCAUCGAGUCUUUGAACGCACAUUGCGCCCCCUGGUAUUCCGGGGGGCAUGCCUGUCCGAGCGUCAUUGCUGCCCUCAAGCACGGCUUGUGUGUUGGGCCCCCGUCCCCGGUUUCCCCCGGGGACGGGCCCGAAAGGCAGCGGCGGCACCGCGUCCGGUCCUCGAGCGUAUGGGGCUUUGUCACCCGCUCUGUAGGCCCGGCCGGCGCCAGCCGACACCCAACUUUAUUUCUAAGGUUGACCUCGGAUCAGGUAGGGAUACCCGCUGAACUUAAGCAUAUCAAUAAGCGGAGGA